This is a long non-coding RNA of Athene cunicularia (burrowing owl), 1146 nucleotides long. RefSeq lists it as uncharacterized. The transcript has 4 exons. Lineage: Eukaryota; Metazoa; Chordata; Aves; Strigiformes; Strigidae. The record is from RefSeq and is a predicted model, not a curated record.
CCAAAGUGAAUGGAACAACGCAUAUGCUCAAAAUAAAGCAUAUGUUCAUCUACCUUGCUGAAUUAAUGCUUCUUUUGUUUUCAAUUCAAUGGGAGAGAGACGAAUUGCUUCAGUAUUCCAGAUUUCAGCUGCCAAAUCUCAUCCAAGCAUACAAAUGGUGCUGCACAUUCAAAUUUGAACCAAGUGGCUCCACUGGCUAGAACCAGUGAUUCUCCAGACUUAACAACCUAAACAGUAAUUUGCAAAUAAAAGCUAAGAUUUCUGGUGAUCAAGUCUGGGAAGUUGGAGGAGAAAUGGGAUCCUAUGGGGGAAGUCUGAUCAUAACACAGCAGAAAGUGUAGAUUCUGCAGAAGAUAUUUUCAUCCAGGUUCGUCAGUAAGCAGUGGAAGAACUAGCAAUUACAACACUUGCACAGUUGACCCUACCAGAAUCAAUAGAUCAAUAGUCAUCAGUAUGAAUUUGUAUGUUGGCCCUAAGUGUGUGAAUACACAAAUCUGUAAUGCUAAAUUGUAGGUUUAUGGCACCUUUGUAAAUUUAUAAUAGUUAAAGUUUUGCCAUAUCUACAAUGCAUUUUUCUAAAAAAAAAAAAAUUGUUUUCUUAGUGUUCUCCAGUAAAUCCCCAAACUUGUAACAAGUCUAUUUGAUUAAAACUUCCCAAGCUAACCGUUGCACUCCUUGAAUUAAUGCUUAGAAUACAGAAACUAGGAAAGUCUCAUCAGCAUUUUGUACAUAUUUCAUUUUUUCACAAUUUGUUGUUCAUCUUUAAGAAAUAUUUCUAAAAGUCUCUUUAGCUGAAUAACUAGUUGCAAGGAUCAGCUGCUUAAUAACUCUGUGAAAGAAACCAAACAAAUCAUAUUUACUUAAAUCAGAAAUAUUCAGUGAAAGAAAGGAGAAUCUAUGUACAAUAUGGUGUUAUUAUUUUCCCCCGAGUAUAAUCACCAUUAAUAAUAUAAUCAUAGAAUCAUAGAAUGGUUUGUGUUGGAAAGGACCUUAAAAUUUUCUAGUUCUAACGCCCCUGCCAAGUGCAGGGACACUUUCCACUAGACCAGGUUGCUUAAAGACCCAUCCCACCUGGCCUUGAGCACUUCCAGGAGGGGGCAUCAACAACUUCUUUGGACAACCUGUUCCAGUGCCUCACCACCCUCA